Molecule: transfer RNA, 74 nt
Filed under: Candidatus Thermoflexus japonica
Lineage: Bacteria; Bacillati; Chloroflexota; Thermoflexia; Thermoflexales; Thermoflexaceae
Description: tRNA-Gly
Rfam family: tRNA
About the family: Transfer RNA (tRNA) molecules are approximately 80 nucleotides in length. Their secondary structure includes four short double-helical elements and three loops (D, anti-codon, and T loops).
Source: RNAcentral
GCGGGCGUAGCUCAGACGGUAGAGCGUCUCCCUGCCAUGGAGAAGGUCGCGGGUUCGAGUCCCGUCGCCCGCUC